UGGGGAAUAUUGCACAAUGGAGGGAACUCUGAUGCAGCGACGCCGCGUGAACGAAGAAGGCUUUCGAGUCGUAAAGUUCUUUUAUAUGGGAAGAUAAUGACGGUACCAUAAGAAAAAGCCCCGGCUAACUACGUGCCAGCAGCCGCGGUAAUACGUAGGGGGCUAGCGUUGUCCGGAAUCACUGGGCGUAAAGGGUUCGCAGGCGGAAAUGCAAGUCAGGUGUAAAAGGCAGUAGCUUAACUACUGUAAGCAUUUGAAACUGCAUAUCUUGAGAAGAGUAGAGGUAAAUUGAAUUUUUAGUGUAACGGUGAAAUGCGUAGAUAUUAAAAAGAAUACCGGUGGCGAAGGCGACUUACUGGGCUCAUUCUGACGCUGAGGAACGAAAGCGUGGGUAGCAAACAGG
Molecule: ribosomal RNA, 403 nt
Filed under: Fusobacteriota bacterium
Lineage: Bacteria; Fusobacteriati; Fusobacteriota
Description: Fusobacteria bacterium partial 16S ribosomal RNA
Rfam family: Bacterial small subunit ribosomal RNA
Source: RNAcentral